RNAcentral lists this ribosomal RNA (428 nucleotides) under uncultured organism. RNAcentral's name for it is "bacterial SSU rRNA". It matches the Rfam family "Bacterial small subunit ribosomal RNA", at positions 355 to 775 of the family's 1533-position model. The record is from RNAcentral.
UGGGGAAUAUUGGACAAUGGGCGCAAGCCUGAUCCAGCAAUGCCGCGUGUGUGAAGAAGGCCUGCGGGUUGUAAAGCACUUUCAGUGGGGAAGAACGGAUGCGGGCCAAUACCCCGGAUCACUGACGUUACCCACAGAAGAAGCACCGGCUAACUCCGUGCCAGCAGCCGCGGUAAUACGGAGGGUGCAAGCGUUAAUCGGAAUCACUGGGCGUAAAGCGCACGUAGGCGGCCCGUUAAGUCAGAUGUGAAACCCCUGGGCUCAACCUGGGAAUGGCAUUUGAUACUAGCGGGCUCGAGUCUGAUAGAGGGGGGUGGAAUUCCAGGUGUAGCGGUGAAAUGCGUAGAUAUCUGGAGGAACACCGGUGGCGAAGGCGGCCCCCUGGAUCAUGACUGACGCUGAGGUGCGAAAGCGUGGGUAGCAAACAG